Molecule: non-coding RNA, 204 nt
Organism: Pelobates cultripes (western spadefoot toad)
Lineage: Eukaryota; Metazoa; Chordata; Amphibia; Anura; Pelobatidae
Source: the annotation of a GenBank genome assembly
CUAUAUAUCCAUAAAAGGAGACAGGAUCAAUGUUUAAGUAUUCUGUCUGGAGCAUGUUUUCUGCUUUCUCAGUACAUUUUAUUACACAUAUGGGUGUUGGACAUCCACUUUCCAUUGUAUGAAUUUGCAUUAUAGUUAAAAACAAGUCCCCUGUACCAGAAGAAAAUGGGAAUUGAAUAUAAAGUUCACAGGUUCAACAGCAAG